AUACGUACCGUACAAACGUUAUUCGGAAUUACUGGGCUUAAAGGGUGCGUAGGCGGUGCGGUAAGUUGGGUGUGAAAUCCCUCGGCUCAACCGAGGAACUGCGCCCAAUACUGCCGUACUCGAGGGAGACAGAGGUAAGCGGAACUGAUGGUGGAGCGGUGAAAUGCGUUGAUAUCAUCAGGAACACCAGUGGCGAAAGCGGCUUACUGGGUCUCUUCUGACGCUGAGGCACGAAAGCUAGGGUAGCGAACGGGAUUAGAAACCCCGGUAGUCC
Molecule: ribosomal RNA, 274 nt
Filed under: uncultured bacterium
Lineage: Bacteria
Description: partial 16S ribosomal RNA
Rfam family: Bacterial small subunit ribosomal RNA
Source: RNAcentral